RNAcentral lists this ribosomal RNA (1453 nucleotides) under Bacillus pumilus. Its description in RNAcentral is "bacterial SSU rRNA". It matches the Rfam family "Bacterial small subunit ribosomal RNA". Lineage: Bacteria; Bacillati; Bacillota; Bacilli; Caryophanales; Bacillaceae. The record is from RNAcentral.
GCUCAGGACGAACGCUGGCGGCGUGCCUAAUACAUGCAAGUCGAGCGGACAGAAGGGAGCUUGCUCCCGGAUGUUAGCGGCGGACGGGUGAGUAACACGUGGGUAACCUGCCUGUAAGACUGGGAUAACUCCGGGAAACCGGAGCUAAUACCGGAUAGUUCCUUGAACCGCAUGGUUCAAGGAUGAAAGACGGUUUCGGCUGUCACUUACAGAUGGACCCGCGGCGCAUUAGCUAGUUGGUGAGGUAACGGCUCACCAAGGCGACGAUGCGUAGCCGACCUGAGAGGGUGAUCGGCCACACUGGGACUGAGACACGGCCCAGACUCCUACGGGAGGCAGCAGUAGGGAAUCUUCCGCAAUGGACGAAAGUCUGACGGAGCAACGCCGCGUGAGUGAUGAAGGUUUUCGGAUCGUAAAGCUCUGUUGUUAGGGAAGAACAAGUGCAAGAGUAACUGCUUGCACCUUGACGGUACCUAACCAGAAAGCCACGGCUAACUACGUGCCAGCAGCCGCGGUAAUACGUAGGUGGCAAGCGUUGUCCGGAAUUAUUGGGCGUAAAGGGCUCGCAGGCGGUUUCUUAAGUCUGAUGUGAAAGCCCCCGGCUCAACCGGGGAGGGUCAUUGGAAACUGGGAAACUUGAGUGCAGAAGAGGAGAGUGGAAUUCCACGUGUAGCGGUGAAAUGCGUAGAGAUGUGGAGGAACACCAGUGGCGAAGGCGACUCUCUGGUCUGUAACUGACGCUGAGGAGCGAAAGCGUGGGGAGCGAACAGGAUUAGAUACCCUGGUAGUCCACGCCGUAAACGAUGAGUGCUAAGUGUUAGGGGGUUUCCGCCCCUUAGUGCUGCAGCUAACGCAUUAAGCACUCCGCCUGGGGAGUACGGUCGCAAGACUGAAACUCAAAGGAAUUGACGGGGGCCCGCACAAGCGGUGGAGCAUGUGGUUUAAUUCGAAGCAACGCGAAGAACCUUACCAGGUCUUGACAUCCUCUGACAACCCUAGAGAUAGGGCUUUCCCUUCGGGGACAGAGUGACAGGUGGUGCAUGGUUGUCGUCAGCUCGUGUCGUGAGAUGUUGGGUUAAGUCCCGCAACGAGCGCAACCCUUGAUCUUAGUUGCCAGCAUUCAGUUGGGCACUCUAAGGUGACUGCCGGUGACAAACCGGAGGAAGGUGGGGAUGACGUCAAAUCAUCAUGCCCCUUAUGACCUGGGCUACACACGUGCUACAAUGGACAGAACAAAGGGCUGCGAGACCGCAAGGUUUAGCCAAUCCCACAAAUCUGUUCUCAGUUCGGAUCGCAGUCUGCAACUCGACUGCGUGAAGCUGGAAUCGCUAGUAAUCGCGGAUCAGCAUGCGCGGNGGAAAUACCGUCCCGGGGCCUUGUACACACCGCCCGUCACACCACGAGAGUUUGCAACACCCGAAGUCGGUGAGGUAACCUUUAUGGAGCCAGCCGC